GUCCCUAUCGUCUAGAGGCCUAGGACACCGCCCUUUCACGGCGGCGACCGGGGUUCGAAUCCCCGUAGGGACGCCA
This 76-nucleotide transfer RNA is filed under the name Chromobacterium piscinae. RNAcentral's name for it is "tRNA-Glu". It matches the Rfam family "tRNA". From Rfam's summary of the family: Transfer RNA (tRNA) molecules are approximately 80 nucleotides in length. Their secondary structure includes four short double-helical elements and three loops (D, anti-codon, and T loops). Further hydrogen bonds mediate the characteristic L-shaped molecular structure. tRNAs have two regions of fundamental functional importance: the anti-codon, which is responsible for specific mRNA codon recognition, and the 3' end, to which the tRNAs corresponding amino acid is attached (by aminoacyl-tRNA synthetases). tRNAs cope with the degeneracy of the genetic code in two manners: having more than one tRNA (with a specific anti-codon) for a particular amino acid; and 'wobble' base-pairing, i.e. permitting non-standard base-pairing at the 3rd anti-codon position. The record is from RNAcentral. Lineage: Bacteria; Pseudomonadati; Pseudomonadota; Betaproteobacteria; Neisseriales; Chromobacteriaceae. RNAcentral also lists the same sequence under 11 other names.